Molecule: ribosomal RNA, 1006 nt
Filed under: Klebsiella pneumoniae
Lineage: Bacteria; Pseudomonadati; Pseudomonadota; Gammaproteobacteria; Enterobacterales; Enterobacteriaceae
Description: bacterial SSU rRNA
Rfam family: Bacterial small subunit ribosomal RNA
Source: RNAcentral
AAAUUGAAGAGUUUGAUCAUGGCUCAGAUUGAACGCUGGCGGCAGGCCUAACACAUGCAAGUCGAGCGGUAGCACAGAGAGCUUGCUCUCGGGUGACGAGCGGCGGACGGGUGAGUAAUGUCUGGGAAACUGCCUGAUGGAGGGGGAUAACUACUGGAAACGGUAGCUAAUACCGCAUAAUGUCGCAAGACCAAAGUGGGGGACCUUCGGGCCUCAUGCCAUCAGAUGUGCCCAGAUGGGAUUAGCUAGUAGGUGGGGUAACGGCUCACCUAGGCGACGAUCCCUAGCUGGUCUGAGAGGAUGACCAGCCACACUGGAACUGAGACACGGUCCAGACUCCUACGGGAGGCAGCAGUGGGGAAUAUUGCACAAUGGGCGCAAGCCUGAUGCAGCCAUGCCGCGUGUGUGAAGAAGGCCUUCGGGUUGUAAAGCACUUUCAGCGGGGAGGAAGGCGGUAAGGUUAAUAACCUUGUCGAUUGACGUUACCCGCAGAAGAAGCACCGGCUAACUCCGUGCCAGCAGCCGCGGUAAUACGGAGGGUGCAAGCGUUAAUCGGAAUUACUGGGCGUAAAGCGCACGCAGGCGGUCUGUCAAGUCGGAUGUGAAAUCCCCGGGCUCAACCUGGGAACUGCAUUCGAAACUGGCAGGCUAGAGUCUUGUAGAGGGGGGUAGAAUUCCAGGUGUAGCGGUGAAAUGCGUAGAGAUCUGGAGGAAUACCGGUGGCGAAGGCGGCCCCCUGGACAAAGACUGACGCUCAGGUGCGAAAGCGUGGGGAGCAAACAGGAUUAGAUACCCUGGUAGUCCACGCCGUAAACGAUGUCGAUUUGGAGGUUGUGCCCUUGAGGCGUGGCUUCCGGAGCUAACGCGUUAAAUCGACCGCCUGGGGAGUACGGCCGCAAGGUUAAAACUCAAAUGAAUUGACGGGGGCCCGCACAAGCGGUGGAGCAUGUGGUUUAAUUCGAUGCAACGCGAAGAACCUUACCUGGUCUUGACAUCCACAGAACUU